UACAGAGGUCUCAAGCGUUGUUCGGCUUCAUUGGGCGUAAAGGGUGCGUAGGUGGCGCGGUAAGUCGGGUGUGAAAUUUCGGAGCUUAACUCCGAAACUGCAUUCGAUACUGCCGUGCUUGAGGACUGGAGAGGAGACUGGAAUUUACGGUGUAGCAGUGAAAUGCGUAGAGAUCGUAAGGAAGACCAGUGGCGAAGGCGGGUCUCUGGACAGUUCCUGACACUGAGGCACGAAGGCCAGGGGAGCAACCGGG
This 253-nucleotide ribosomal RNA is filed under the name uncultured bacterium. Its description in RNAcentral is "partial 16S ribosomal RNA". It matches the Rfam family "Bacterial small subunit ribosomal RNA", at positions 524 to 776 of the family's 1533-position model. The record is from RNAcentral.